This 496-nucleotide ribosomal RNA is filed under the name uncultured bacterium. RNAcentral's name for it is "partial 16S ribosomal RNA". It matches the Rfam family "Bacterial small subunit ribosomal RNA", at positions 29 to 507 of the family's 1533-position model. The record is from RNAcentral.
AUGAUCGCUGGCGGCGUGCCUAAUACAUGCAAGUCGAGCGAACAGACGAGGAGCUUGCUCCUCUGACGUUAGCGGCGGACGGGUGAGUAACACGUGGAUAACCUACCUAUAAGACUGGGAUAACUUCGGGAAACCGGAGCUAAUACCGGAUAAUAUAUUGAACCGCAUGGUUCAAUAGUGAAAGACGGUUUUGCUGUCACUUAUAGAUGGAUCCGCGCCGCAUUAGCUAGUUGGUAAGGUAACGGCUUACCAAGGCAACGAUGCGUAGCCGACCUGAGAGGGUGAUCGGCCACACUGGAACUGAGACACGGUCCAGACUCCUACGGGAGGCAGCAGUAGGGAAUCUUCCGCAAUGGGCGAAAGCCUGACGGAGCAACGCCGCGUGAGUGAUGAAGGUCUUCGGAUCGUAAAACUCUGUUAUUAGGGAAGAACAAAUGUGUAAGUAACUAUGCACGUCUUGACGGUACCUAAUCAGAAAGCCACGGCUAACUACGUG